AGCAAAUCUUGGCUACUGUGAGGGGCUACGGCCUUGAGCAUUUCCUCACUGGUGAGUAAGAUGUUCCCCCAUAGUUUGUCUUUGUUGAAAAUUUGGAUGAGAUGCAGUUGAAUCCAACUUUCAUAUCAUGGCAUCGUCAAGAUCAGCUUCUCUUGGCAUGAAUCCAAUCCUCCUUUUCAGAAAACACCAUGAUGAUGAUAGUGUGGCUCAACACCAACAAAGAUAUAUGGCGUUCCUUGGAGACUAACUACUCUAGCCAAUCGAAGGCCAAAGUAAUGCAGUACAAAUUGUAACUGUAGACUAUGAAGAAAGACUCUCUCUCCAUGAGAGAGUACCUCAACAAAGUGAAAUUGUGUUGUGAUUUGUUGGGGUCAGUUGGCUGUAGGAUUAUGGAAGAAGAUAAAAUCCUUUAUAUCCUGGCUGGACUAGGGUUUGAGUAUGAUCCAGUCAUGGUGACUAUCACCUCAAGAGGUGAAGCUUGGUCAGUUCCAGAUGUUACAAGCUUGCUCCUGAGUUUUGAGUUUAGAUUGGAGUUCUCCAAAGGAACCAACAUCAACACUAACAGUACACAGCCUUCAGCUAACAUGAUUCAAGCUUCUAGGAACAGAUAUGAUGGUCACAUCCAACAUAACAAAGACAACCAGCAACAUUCUAGAAGAGGUUUUGGUGGCAGAUUCAAUAGCUUUAGAGGGGGAAGGGGAGGUAGAGGAGGCAGAUUCUCAGGCCAAAGACUUGUCUAUCAAGUCUGUCAAAAACCUGGACACUCUGCAGAUCGAUAUUGGUACAGGUUUGAGCAUAAUUUUACUUCUUCUUCCUCGAUAGGACCUUGAAGACAACAAUACCAACCACAUCAAACAUAUUCCAUUCCACAUCAGCCACCCACUCCUUCUGCAAAUAUUGUGCAAUAGAGAAUAACUCUCACUCCUCACCAUCACAAUCCUGGACCUGCUCCAUCUGAAUACAGUUUUGAAGGUAGCACUACCUCCUCCUGGUACCCUGAUUCAGGUGCCACAAACCAUACCUCCAAUGAUCUCUCUAACAUGUACACAAGUGCUGAGUACAGUGGAGGAUUUAUCAUCCAAGGAUAUCAUCCUCAAAGGCACUCCUAAUCAAGGUCUCUACCGAUUUCUCAUCCACAAACUGAAGAAAUGUCAUGUUUCCAGAUUUCCUGUCUUCCAAAAAGGCCAAGGCUCUAGCUUACCUACAGCCUGCACUACCAUUCUAGGAUCUUCGCCUUCUGUUUUUAGUACCUCAACUUCUGUUAAAAUAGGAAUAGACAUUUGGGACAAAAGACUUGGCCAUUGUAAUUUUGAUUCCGUUGAAAAGGCUCCACAAUCAUGUAAUACUCCUUUUACAUUCAAUGAAAUCAAGUAUUUUGUGUCA
Salvia splendens (bonfire salvia) is the source of this 1383-nucleotide long non-coding RNA. RefSeq lists it as uncharacterized. The record is from RefSeq and is a predicted model, not a curated record. Lineage: Eukaryota; Viridiplantae; Streptophyta; Magnoliopsida; Lamiales; Lamiaceae. The transcript is spliced from 2 exons.